This 304-nucleotide long non-coding RNA is filed under the name Gossypium barbadense (sea-island cotton). RNAcentral describes it as "long non-coding RNA (GBAR_LNC007930)". The record is from RNAcentral. Lineage: Eukaryota; Viridiplantae; Streptophyta; Magnoliopsida; Malvales; Malvaceae.
CCAUACUCAAAAUAUACAAGCCAUUAUGCCAAGAUGGUAUACGGAUAGUGUGAGCCCGAGCUGGCUUGUCAAAACUACAAGGAAUGAAAAGGAGGGAGUAAGCAUAAAUGCUUAAUAAGUUCACAUGCAAAUAGCAAGUAACAUAACCAUAUAAGCAAACAUAAAACAUCAUUUGCAUAAUCAUCACCAAGAUAUUCAUAUCACAUUUUCAUUUAUCAUCUUACCAUAUUGUUGUUAUAUCGAUUUUUCAACCCGAGGGUUAAGUACAUACCUGUUCAAAGUAUCCAUUUCACAACACUUACCA